UAGAGUUAUCUGAGAGAAAGGAAGGUGGA
Molecule: non-coding RNA, 29 nt
Filed under: Mus musculus (house mouse)
Lineage: Eukaryota; Metazoa; Chordata; Mammalia; Rodentia; Muridae
Source: RNAcentral